ACUUUUAAAGGAUAACAGCUAAUCCACUG
Molecule: transfer RNA, 29 nt
Filed under: Lesbia nuna
Lineage: Eukaryota; Metazoa; Chordata; Aves; Apodiformes; Trochilidae
Also listed under: 1 other name
Description: tRNA-Leu
Source: RNAcentral